GACGAGCGCUGGCGGCGUCUUAACACAUGCAAGUCGAACGAUGAAGCCUAGCUUGCUAGGUGGAUUAGUGGCGAACGGGUGAGUAAUACGUGAGUGACCUACCUUUGACUCUGGGAUAAGCCUGGGAAACUGGGUCUAAUACCGGAUACGACCAAUCUCCGCAUGGGGUGUUGGUGGAAAGCGUUAUGGAGUGGUUUUAGAUGGGCUCACGGCCUAUCAGCUUGUUGGUGAGGUAAUGGCUUACCAAGGCGACGACGGGUAGCCGGCCUGAGAGGGUGACCGGCCACACUGGGACUGAGACACGGCCCAGACUCCUACGGGAGGCAGCAGUGGGGAAUAUUGCACAAUGGGCGCAAGCCUGAUGCAGCGACGCCGCGUGAGGGAUGACGGCCUUCGGGUUGUAAACCUCUGUUAGCAUCGAAGAAGCGAAAGUGACGGUAGGUGCAGAGAAAGCGCCGGCUAACUACGUG
RNAcentral lists this ribosomal RNA (470 nucleotides) under uncultured bacterium. RNAcentral's name for it is "partial 16S ribosomal RNA". It matches the Rfam family "Bacterial small subunit ribosomal RNA", at positions 28 to 507 of the family's 1533-position model. The record is from RNAcentral.